GCCAGGGUAGCUCAAUUGGUAGAGCAUCAGGCUAGUAUCCUGUCGGUUCCGGUUCAAGUCCGGGCCCUGGUUA
Molecule: transfer RNA, 73 nt
Filed under: synthetic construct
Description: vtRNA5
Rfam family: tRNA
About the family: Transfer RNA (tRNA) molecules are approximately 80 nucleotides in length. Their secondary structure includes four short double-helical elements and three loops (D, anti-codon, and T loops).
Source: RNAcentral